Molecule: non-coding RNA, 502 nt
Organism: Paramuricea clavata
Lineage: Eukaryota; Metazoa; Cnidaria; Anthozoa; Malacalcyonacea; Plexauridae
Source: the annotation of a GenBank genome assembly
CCCCCCCUUAUAAAACACAUGGUUGAGGGCCUGUUGCCCCCUGCGGUCACUAACUUGUCCAACAACUCAAACUCUAUAGGGUCUGGGAAAUGCAAUCCACUGCCUGGGAAAUGUUUAAAAUCUAAUAAGGUAUUUAUUAAACAUAAAAGACAGGACAUAAGAUUCACAAAGCAAAUUUAAGUUACUAGAAUAUCAAACCUGCCUUAUAAAUUCAAUGUUUUGCUUAUAUUUUAGAGAAAAGGGACUUUGACUGGGGGGGCCAAAAUGGUUGAGUGGGGGGGCCACCAUGGGGGCUGGGGGGGCUUUGGCCCCCCCAGUUAUAUAGUUAAAAAAUGCCCUGCUUUCAAUGGUCUUUCUAGGGCGCCAAAAAUGUCUUGGUACCGUGGUACAAUGUAAGUGUAAGGAACAAGCAUAAUUGUAGUAUUGCUUUGGGCCAUGCACCCUAAGAAAAAUUUUGAUUUCUAAAGUCCAUUUAACAUUAAUUCCUGCAUUUUGAGGCAAU